CUUUCUUUUUAUACGUUUCUAUGUCUUUUUCUUCUUUUAUGAAUCUUUUUCUUCGUGAAGAUAUUUAGAACUCGAUGUUCACCAAUGCACAGUAUAUAAUUAGAUAAUAUAUACCAAGUAAAAUAGUUAUCUAUCAUUAUAAUAAAUUAAUUCAAAUAAAUUGAUAUAUAAUUUUUAGAAUAUGAUAUUUAUUGGAUAUAAAAUAUCCUCGGC
RNAcentral lists this long non-coding RNA (213 nucleotides) under Elaeis guineensis (African oil palm). Its description in RNAcentral is "long non-coding RNA (EGUI_LNC011502)". Lineage: Eukaryota; Viridiplantae; Streptophyta; Magnoliopsida; Arecales; Arecaceae. The record is from RNAcentral.